RNAcentral lists this ribosomal RNA (422 nucleotides) under uncultured bacterium. RNAcentral describes it as "bacterial SSU rRNA". It matches the Rfam family "Bacterial small subunit ribosomal RNA", at positions 355 to 774 of the family's 1533-position model. The record is from RNAcentral.
UAAGGAAUAUUGGUCAAUGGACGCAAGUCUGAACCAGCCAUGCCGCGUGGAGGAUGAAGGUCCUCUGGAUUGUAAACUUCUUUUAUCUGGGACGAAACACUUCUUUUCUAAGAGGCCUGACGGUACCAGAUGAAUAAGCACCGGCUAACUCCGUGCCAGCAGCCGCGGUAAUACGGAGGGUGCAAGCGUUAUCCGGAUUCACUGGGUUUAAAGGGUGCGUAGGUGGGUAUGUAAGUCAGUGGUGAAAUCCCCGAGCUUAACUUGGGAACUGCCAUUGAUACUAUAUAUCUUGAAUACCGUAGAGGUCAGCGGAAUAUGUCAUGUAGCGGUGAAAUGCUUAGAUAUGACAUGGAACACCAAUUGCGAAGGCAGCUUACUAUGCGGUGAUUGACACUGAGGCACGAAAGCGUGGGUAGCAAACA